GACGAACGCUGGCGGCGUGCUUAACACAUGCAAGUCGAACGGAAAGGCCCUGCUUUUGUGGGGUGCUCGAGUGGCGAACGGGUGAGUAACACGUGAGUAACCUGCCCUAGACUUUGGGAUAACUUCAGGAAACUGGGGCUAAUACCGGAUAGGAGCUCCUGCUGCAUGGUGGGGGUUGGAAAGUUUCGGCGGUUGGGGAUGGACUCGCGGCUUAUCAGCUUGUUGGUGGGGUAGUGGCUUACCAAGGCUUUGACGGGUAGCCGGCCUGAGAGGGUGACCGGCCACAUUGGGACUGAGAUACGGCCCAGACUCCUACGGGAGGCAGCAGUGGGGAAUAUUGCACAAUGGGAGGAAGCCUGAUGAAGAAACGCCGCGUGCGGUAUGACGGCCUUCGGGUUGUAAACCGCUUUCGCCUGUGACGAAGCGUGAGUGACGGUAAUGGGUAAAGAAGCACCGGCUAACUACGUG
This 468-nucleotide ribosomal RNA is filed under the name uncultured bacterium. RNAcentral's name for it is "partial 16S ribosomal RNA". It matches the Rfam family "Bacterial small subunit ribosomal RNA", at positions 28 to 507 of the family's 1533-position model. The record is from RNAcentral.